RNAcentral lists this ribosomal RNA (452 nucleotides) under uncultured bacterium. RNAcentral describes it as "bacterial SSU rRNA". It matches the Rfam family "Bacterial small subunit ribosomal RNA", at positions 340 to 784 of the family's 1533-position model. The record is from RNAcentral.
UACGGGAGGCAGCAGGGGGGAAUUUUGGACAAUGGGCGCAAGCCUGAUCCAGCCAUGCCGCGUGAGUGAAGAAGGCCUUCGGGUUGUAAAGCUCUUUCGGCCGGGAAGAAAUCGGCGACUCUAACAUAGUCGCUGGAUGACGGUACCGGACUAAGAAGCACCGGCUAACUACGUGCCAGCAGCCGCGGUAAUACGUAGGGUGCGAGCGUUAAUCGGAAUUACUGGGCGUAAAGCGUGCGCAGGCGGUUUUUGUAAGCAGAUGUGAAAUCCCCGGGCUUAACCUGGGAACUGCGUUUUGUGACUGCAAGGCUAGAGUACGGCAGAGGGGGUGGAAUUCCUGGUGUAGCAGUGAAAUGCGUAGAGAUCAGGAGGAACACCGAUGGCGAAGGCAGCCCCUGGGCCUGUACUGACGCUCAUGCACGAAAGCGUGGGGAGCAAACGAGGAUUAGAUA